This 468-nucleotide ribosomal RNA is filed under the name uncultured bacterium. RNAcentral describes it as "partial 16S ribosomal RNA". It matches the Rfam family "Bacterial small subunit ribosomal RNA", at positions 28 to 507 of the family's 1533-position model. The record is from RNAcentral.
GACGAACGCUGGCGGCGUGCUUAACACAUGCAAGUCGAACGGAAAGGCCCUGCUUUUGUGGGGUGCUCGAGUGGCGAACGGGUGAGUAACACGUGAGUAACCUGCCCUUGACUUUGGGAUAACUUCAGGAAACUGGGGCUAAUACCGGAUAGGAGCUCCUGCUGCAUGGUGGGGGUUGGAAAGUUUCGGCGGUUGGGGAUGGACUCGCGGCUUAUCAGCUUGUUGGUGGGGUAGUGGCUUACCAAGGCUUUGACGGGUAGCCGGCCUGAGAGGGUGACCGGCCACAUUGGGACUGAGAUACGGCCCAGAAUCCUACGGGAGGCAGCAGUGGGGAAUAUUGCACAAUGGGCGGAAGCCUGAUGCAGCAACGCCGCGUGCGGGAUGACGGCCUUCGGGUUGUAAACCGCUUUCGCCUGUGACGAAGCGUGAGUGACGGUAAUGGGUAAAGAAGCACCGGCUAAAUACGUG